GACGAACGCUGGCGGCGUGCCUAAUACAUGCAAGUCGAGCGGACAGAAGGGAGCUUGCUCCCGGAUGUUAGCGGCGGACGGGUGAGUAACACGUGGGUAACCUGCCUGUAAGACUGGGAUAACUCCGGGAAACCGGAGCUAAUACCGGAUAGUUCCUUGAACCGCAUGGUUCAAGGAUGAAAGACGGUUUCGGCUGUCACUUACAGAUGGACCCGCGGCGCAUUAGCUAGUUGGUGGGGUAAUGGCUCACCAAGGCGACGAUGCGUAGCCGACCUGAGAGGGUGAUCGGCCACACUGGGACUGAGACACGGCCCAGACUCCUACGGGAGGCAGCAGUAGGGAAUCUUCCGCAAUGGACGAAAGUCUGACGGAGCAACGCCGCGUGAGUGAUGAAGGUUUUCGGAUCGUAAAGCUCUGUUGUUAGGGAAGAACAAGUGCGAGAGUAACUGCUCGCACCUUGACGGUACCUAACCAGAAAGCCACGGCUAACUACGUGCCAGCAGCCGCGGUAAUACGUAGGUGGCAAGCGUUGUCCGGAAUUAUUGGGCGUAAAGGGCUCGCAGGCGGUUUCUUAAGUCUGAUGUGAAAGCCCCCGGCUCAACCGGGGAGGGUCAUUGGAAACUGGGAAACUUGAGUGCAGAAGAGGAGAGUGGAAUUCCACGUGUAGCGGUGAAAUGCGUAGAGAUGUGGAGGAACACCAGUGGCGAAGGCGACUCUCUGGUCUGUAACUGACGCUGAGGAGCGAAAGCGUGGGGAGCGAACAGGAUUAGAUACCCUGGUAGUCCACGCCGUAAACGAUGAGUGCUAAGUGUUAGGGGGUUUCCGCCCCUUAGUGCUGCAGCUAACGCAUUAAGCACUCCGCCUGGGGAGUACGGUCGCAAGACUGAAACUCAAAGGAAUUGACGGGGGCCCGCACAAGCGGUGGAGCAUGUGGUUUAAUUCGAAGCAACGCGAAGAACCUUACCAGGUCUUGACAUCCUCUGACAACCCUAGAGAUAGGGCUUUCCCUUCGGGGACAGAGUGACAGGUGGUGCAUGGUUGUCGUCAGCUCGUGUCGUGAGAUGU
This 1065-nucleotide ribosomal RNA is filed under the name Bacillus pumilus. Its description in RNAcentral is "16S ribosomal RNA". It matches the Rfam family "Bacterial small subunit ribosomal RNA", at positions 28 to 1075 of the family's 1533-position model. The record is from RNAcentral. Lineage: Bacteria; Bacillati; Bacillota; Bacilli; Caryophanales; Bacillaceae.